Molecule: ribosomal RNA, 305 nt
Filed under: uncultured bacterium
Lineage: Bacteria
Description: bacterial SSU rRNA
Rfam family: Bacterial small subunit ribosomal RNA
Source: RNAcentral
CCUACGGGAGGCAGCAGUGAGGAAUAUUGGUCAAUGGACGGAAGUCUGAACCAGCCAUGCCGCGUGCAGGAAGACGGCUCUAUGAGUUGUAAACUGCUUUUGUACAAGGGUAAACCUGAAUACGUGUAUUCAGCUGAAAGUACUGUACGAAUAAGGAUCGGCUAACUCCGUGCCAGCAGCCGCGGUAAUACGGAGGAUGCGAGCGUUAUCCGGAUUUAUUGGGUUUAAAGGGUGCGUAGGCGGUCCGUUAAGUCAGCGGUAAAAUUGCGGGGCUCAACCCCGUCGAGCCGUUGAAACUGGCAGAC